This 1910-nucleotide unclassified non-coding RNA is filed under the name Hevea brasiliensis (rubber tree). Lineage: Eukaryota; Viridiplantae; Streptophyta; Magnoliopsida; Malpighiales; Euphorbiaceae. The record is from RNAcentral.
GGGGUUCUUCUUCGUGGUUAUCAGGUUUUCCAAAAGCUUUAACAAGUGCGAAACGCGAUUUAUGAACAAAUUGUAGCCCCCAACAGAAACCGAAUCCAGAAUAUUAAAAAGCAAUUGCUUUGCAAUAAGAGUCGUUUCUGACUUCAAUUUGUAAAACCCUAAUUAAGUUUCAAUCACAGGUUUAAAGAGAAAACAUGGGCGAGGAAUUGUUCACUGCAAUUGACAUUGAAUCUGCAGCCCAGAAUACCCUUCUGCGUGAACAAGAAAUUGAAACCCAAAGAGUUCUACAAGUUCAAAGAGAGGCAGGUGAAGCGCGUGCAACUCCAAAAGAUGAUACAGAUAUUUUUGCUGAUCGCCGUGAUCCCAGUGCUUUAAAGGAGCAUCUACUGAAGAUCACCAGUGAACAUCGUGCAGAAAUGGCUUUAAAGCGCGGGAAACCUGCUGUUGUUGAAGAAGGACAUGUAGAAAUUGGUAAUGGCUAUGGUGUACCUGGUGGAGGGGCAUAUUAUGGUUCUUCAAGGCCAGAACUUAAUACAGAGUCUGAAAAGAAGUCUGCUACUAAGGAACUCCCUGAGUACCUUAAGCAGAAGCUGAGAGCAAGGGGUAUUCUUAAAGAUGACACAGGAAAAGGCGAUCCGUUAAAAGAUGACACUAAUUUGGAGACAAGUUCAACUCAACCUGUUAAUAUUGGAAAGUUGCCUUCUGGAUGGGUGGAAGCAAAAGAUCCCACCAGUGGUUCUACAUAUUAUUACAAUGAAAGCAUUGGAAAGAGUCAGUGGGAAAGGCCUAUUGAAAUGUCUUCAAUUACACAAAUGCCGUCACCUCUACUUCUUCUAGAAGACUGGGUUGAGGCAUUGGAUGAAACUUCUGCUCAAAAGUAUUACUACAAUACAAAGACCAAUGUGUCACAGUGGGAGCAUCCUAUUUCUUCACAGAUUGUUGCCUCACAACAACGCUGUAACAUCUCAGAUUCUGGAAAUCAUGGUUGGAAUGAUCAAUCAUCUGAGCGAAAGAAAUGCUUGGGAUGUGGUGGAUGGGGAGUAGGCCUUGUACAAGAAUGGGGCUUUUGCAAUCAUUGCACACGAGUUCUGAAUCUUGCACAGUGCCACAGCUCAACAUCUAGUUUCAAUAACCAGCAGCGGACCAGCAAUCUUGGAAAUGUCAAAAGAGAUUUUGAUAAAAAGGAUUCGAAGCAGAGGUCCAAUUUGAAACCUCCUGUGGCCAAAGGAAACAGAAGAGAAAGCAGAAAGCGUGCAUAUAUUGAAGAUGAUGAGUUGGAUCCUAUGGACCCAAGCUCUUAUUCAGAUGCUCCCCGUGGUGGUUGGGUUGUUGGCCUGAAAGGAGUGCAGCCACGAGCAGCCGACACUACUGCUACAGGUCCUCUGUUUCAACAACGGCCAUACCCAUCUCCAGGAGCUGUCUUGCGAAAGAACGCUGAAAUUGCUUCGCAAGCCAAAAAAUAUGGUUCUCAUUAUGCACCUAUCUCAAAGAAAGGGGAUGGGAGUGAUGGGCUUGGUGAUGCAGACUGAGGUUCUGAUUGAAAUAGUGUGGAUUUGUGAAAAUGGAUGGUGGUUUCAGGGCUGGAACUAACGGUGACAUGAAAGUAGGAGGCCGGUGUAGCUGUGAGCGGAGGCUAAUUGGUUUCAGGCAUUUUGGGUUUUUCCGUCAACAAAUGUCCAUUUCAUGGUUUUGCAAGAGAAUGGUCGGACUAGCAGUGUAGCAUGGAAUGCCUGCGCCUGCUUUGCAGGAAAUGAAACGGUUUCUCCAACACACUUGUGCAUUCUGCAGUUUUGUAUGGUUCAUCAUGUACUUUAUACUCCCCUUUCUUCCUGUUCUUUUUAUAUAUUUAUUUUAAAAUAUGAUUCAUAAUAACUCUUAGGAUCCAAGAUUAUUAUUAUUAUUAUUAUUAU